Long non-coding RNA from Pongo pygmaeus (Bornean orangutan), 483 nucleotides. RefSeq lists it as uncharacterized. The transcript is spliced from 3 exons. The record is from RefSeq and is a predicted model, not a curated record. Lineage: Eukaryota; Metazoa; Chordata; Mammalia; Primates; Hominidae.
UCAGCCCACCUGCACCCAGUUGAAAUAAACAGCCAUGUUGCUCACACAAAGCCUGUUUGGUGGUCUCUUCACACGGACGCGCAUGAAAUUUGGUGCUGUGACUCGGAUCAGGGGACCUCCCUUAGGAGAUCAAUCCCCCAUCCUCCUGCACUUUGCUCCGUGAGAAAGAUCCACCUACGACCUCAGGUCCUCAGACCGACCAGCCCAAGAAACAUCUCACCAAUUUCAAAUCUGGACCCCACUGGAAAUUGGACUGUUCAACUCACCUGGCAGCCACUCCCACAGCCCCUGGAACUCUGGCCUAAGGCUCUCUGACUGACUCCUUCUUGGCUUACCGGCUGAAGACUGAUGCUGCCUGAUCAUCUUGGAAGCCCCUUAGACUAUCACGGAUGCCGAGCUUUAGGUAACUCUCACAGUGGAGGCUCUUUUGUCAUCAACCUGAGGAUGAAGCCAACAAGAGAAAGAGAACAUGGAUCCAAGAGA